CGAGCCUUUCCCGUGGAGGGGGAGGGGACGGAGUCAGCUCUGCGUCUCUCUCUGAAAUUGGCGGGAGGCGAAGAUGUCACUCGACUUGGAUGGUGAGGAGCACUUUUUGGAAGAGACUAAAUUCAAGGAGUAUUGUGUAGAAUUUAUCAAACACUCACAACAAAUAGGAGACAGUUGGGAGUGGAGAAAUGUAAAGGGUUCUGCAGGUGGCUAUAUGAGUAAAACACACUUUCAAGUGAAAGGCAGAGGCGUCUCACCAGACACAGGGGAAAUAAUGAACGACAGCGAUGAAACACCAUUUACAUAU
Long non-coding RNA from Gekko japonicus, 307 nucleotides. RefSeq lists it as uncharacterized. NCBI's taxonomy places the organism in Eukaryota, Metazoa, Chordata, Lepidosauria, Squamata, Gekkonidae. The record is from RefSeq and is a predicted model, not a curated record. The transcript is spliced from 3 exons.